RNAcentral lists this ribosomal RNA (460 nucleotides) under uncultured bacterium. RNAcentral's name for it is "partial 16S ribosomal RNA". It matches the Rfam family "Bacterial small subunit ribosomal RNA", at positions 338 to 795 of the family's 1533-position model. The record is from RNAcentral.
CCUACGGGAGGCAGCAGUGAGGAAUAUUGGUCAAUGGACGCAAGUCUGAACCAGCCAUGCCGCGUGCAGGAAGACGGCUCUAUGAGUUGUAAACUGCUUUUGUACGAGGGUAAACGCAGAUACGCGUAUCUUUCUGAAAGUAUCGUACGAAUAAGGAUCGGCUAACUCCGUGCCAGCAGCCGCGGUAAUACGGAGGAUUCAAGCGUUAUCCGGAUUUAUUGGGUUUAAAGGGUGCGUAGGCGGUCGGAUAAGUUAGAGGUGAAAUCCCGAGGCUCAACGUCGGAAUUGCCUUUGAUACUGUUCGGCUAGAGAGUAGUUGAGGUAGGCGGAAUGUAUGGUGUAGCGGUGAAAUGCUUAGAGAUCAUACAGAACACCGAUUGCGAAGGCAGCUUACCAAGCUACUUCUGACGUUGAGGCACGAAAGCGUGGGGAGCAAACAGGAUUAGAUACCCCUGUAGUC